UUAGAUACCCCACUAUGCCUAGCCAUAAACCUAAGUAGUUACAACAACAAAACUACUCGCCAGAGGACUACUAGCAACAGCUUAAAACUCAAAGGACUUGGCGGUGCUUUAUACCCCCUAGAGGAGCCUGUUCUA
Molecule: ribosomal RNA, 135 nt
Filed under: vertebrate environmental sample
Lineage: Eukaryota; Metazoa; Chordata
Description: partial 12S ribosomal RNA
Source: RNAcentral